GAUGAACGCUGGCGGCGUGCCUAAUACAUGCAAGUCGAGCGAACGGACGAGAAGCUUGCUUCUCUGAUGUUAGCGGCGGACGGGUGAGUAACACGUGGAUAACCUACCUAUAAGACUGGGAUAACUUCGGGAAACCGGAGCUAAUACCGGAUGAUAUUUUGAACCGCAUGGUUCAAAAGUGAAAGACGGUCUUGCUGUCACUUAUAGAUGGAUCCGCGCUGCAUUAGCUAGUUGGUAAGGUAACGGCUUACCAAGGCAACGAUGCAUAGCCGACCUGAGAGAGUGAUAGGCCACACGGGAACUGAGACACGGUCAAGACUCCUACGGGAGGCAGCAGUAGGGAAUCUUACGCAAUGGGCGAAAGCAUGACGGAGCAACGCCGCGUGAGUGAUGAAGGUCUUCGGAUCGUAAAACUCUGUUAUUAGGGAAGAACAUAUGUGUAAGUAACUGUGCACAGCUUGACGGUACCUAAUCAGAAAGCCACGGCUAACUACGUG
Molecule: ribosomal RNA, 497 nt
Filed under: uncultured bacterium
Lineage: Bacteria
Description: partial 16S ribosomal RNA
Rfam family: Bacterial small subunit ribosomal RNA
Source: RNAcentral